This 549-nucleotide ribosomal RNA is filed under the name uncultured bacterium. Its description in RNAcentral is "bacterial SSU rRNA". It matches the Rfam family "Bacterial small subunit ribosomal RNA", at positions 355 to 896 of the family's 1533-position model. The record is from RNAcentral.
UAGGGAAUCUUCGNNAAUGGACGGAAGNCUGACCGAGCAACGCNGCGUGAGUGAAGAAGGUUUUCGGAUCGUAAAGCUCUGUUGUAAGAGAAGAACGAGUGUGAGAGUGGAAAGUUCACACUGUGACGGUAUCUUACCAGAAAGGGACGGCUAACUACGUGCCAGCAGCCGCGGUAAUACGUAGGUCCCGAGCGUUGUCCGGAUUUAUUGGGCGUAAAGCGAGCGCAGGCGGUUAGAUAAGUCUGAAGUUAAAGGCUGUGGCUUAACCAUAGUACGCUUUGGAAACUGUUUAACUUGAGUGCAAGAGGGGAGAGUGGAAUUCCAUGUGUAGCGGUGAAAUGCGUAGAUAUAUGGAGGAACACCGGUGGCGAAAGCGGCUCUCUGGCUUGUAACUGACGCUGAGGCUCGAAAGCGUGGGGAGCAAACAGGAUUAGAUACCCUGGUAGUCCACGCCGUAAACGAUGAGUGCUAGGUGUUAGACCCUUUCCGGGGUUUAGUGCCGUAGCUAACGCAUUAAGCACUCCGCCUGGGGAGUACGACCGCNNNUUG